ACAUGGAAGAUGGGUGCACCAGAAGCGCCCGGGUUUUUGUUCUUGAGGUUUCUCGAGAAUAGAAUCCGGGCACCAAGGUGAAACCAUUGACUGGGUCG
This 98-nucleotide ribosomal RNA is filed under the name uncultured bacterium. RNAcentral's name for it is "partial 16S ribosomal RNA". The record is from RNAcentral.